AGAGGCACUUCACGGCAGCUGUCGGCGCUUUGGGAGGGACCGGCCUCCCUCAGCCUUUCACUGUCUGGCUUCAUAGUUUGAGUACAGGAGUUGGACAGGCUGUGGCAAGGGCUGAUGUGACUCCCAGGUCAGAGGAAGUCGGAAGGAAGGGGGCUGGUGUCUACUGUCCGUGAGCUUACAGGCCAGGGGUUCUUGGGGCAU
RNAcentral lists this long non-coding RNA (201 nucleotides) under Homo sapiens (human). Its description in RNAcentral is "HSALNT0226985". Lineage: Eukaryota; Metazoa; Chordata; Mammalia; Primates; Hominidae. The record is from RNAcentral.